GUCGAACGGUAACAGGAAGCAGCUUGCUGCUUCGCUGACGAGUGGCGGACGGGUGAGUAAUGUCUGGGAAAUUGCCUGAUGGAGGGGGAUAACUACUGGAAACGGUAGCUAAUACCGCAUAACGUCGCAAGACCAAAGAGGGGGACCUUCGGGCCUCUUGCCAUCGGAUGUGCCCAGAUGGGAUUAGCUAGUAGGUGGGGUAACGGCUCACCUAGGCGACGAUCCCUAGCUGGUCUGAGAGGAUGACCAGCCACACUGGAACUGAGACACGGUCCAGACUCCUACGGGAGGCAGCAGUGGGGAAUAUUGCACAAUGGGCGCAAGCCUGAUGCAGCCAUGCCGCGUGUAUGAAGAAGGCCUUCGGGUUGUAAAGUACUUUCAGCGGGGAGGAAGGCGAUAAGGUUAAUAACCUUGUCGAUUGACGUUACCCGCAGAAGAAGCACCGGCUAACUCCGUGCCAGCAGCCGCGGUAAUACGGAGGGUGCAAGCGUUAAUCGGAAUUACUGGGCGUAAAGCGCACGCAGGCGGUCUGUCAAGUCGGAUGUGAAAUCCCCGGGCUCAACCUGGGAACUGCAUUCGAAACUGGCAG
This 589-nucleotide ribosomal RNA is filed under the name uncultured Enterobacter sp. RNAcentral's name for it is "bacterial SSU rRNA". It matches the Rfam family "Bacterial small subunit ribosomal RNA", at positions 61 to 639 of the family's 1533-position model. Lineage: Bacteria; Pseudomonadati; Pseudomonadota; Gammaproteobacteria; Enterobacterales; Enterobacteriaceae. The record is from RNAcentral.